RNAcentral lists this ribosomal RNA (605 nucleotides) under Phytophthora infestans (potato late blight agent). RNAcentral describes it as "eukaryotic LSU rRNA". The stretch from base 1 to 126 matches the Rfam family "5.8S ribosomal RNA", at positions 30 to 154 of the family's 154-position model. The record is from RNAcentral. Lineage: Eukaryota; Oomycota; Peronosporomycetes; Peronosporales; Peronosporaceae.
GCAUCGAUGAAGAACGCAGCGAACUGCGAUACGUAAUGCGAAUUGCAGGAUUCAGUGAGUCAUCGAAAUUUUGAACGCAUAUUGCACUUCCGGGUUAGUCCUGGAAGUAUGCCUGUAUCAGUGUCCGUACAACAAACUUGGCUUUCUUCCUUCCGUGUAGUCGGUGGAGGAGAUGCCAGAUGUGAAGUGUCUUGCGGUUGGUUUUCGGACCGACUGCGAGUCCUUUUAAAUGUACUAAACUGUACUUCUCUUUGCUCCAAAAGUGGUGGCAUUGCUGGUUGUGGACGCUGCUAUUGUAGCGAAGUUGGCGACCGGUUUGUCUGCUGCGGCGUUAAUGGAGAAAUGCUCGAUUCGUGGGUAUGGUUGGCUUCGGCUGAACAAUGCGCUUAUUGGGUGAUUUUCCUGCUGUGGCGUGAUGGACUGGUGAACCAUGGCUCUUUAGCUUGGCAUUUGAAUCGGCUUUGCUGUUGCGAAGUAGAGUGGCGGCUUCGGCUGCCGAGGGUCGAUCCAUUUGGGAAAUGUUGUGUACUUCGGUAUGCAUCUCAAUUGGACCUGAUAUCAGGCAAGAUUACCCGCUGAACUUAAGCAUAUCAAUAAGCGGAGGA